Molecule: ribosomal RNA, 443 nt
Filed under: uncultured bacterium
Lineage: Bacteria
Description: partial 16S ribosomal RNA
Rfam family: Bacterial small subunit ribosomal RNA
Source: RNAcentral
GAUGAACGCUGGCGGCAUGCCUAACACAUGCAAGUCGAUCGGUAAGGCUCUUCGGAGUACACGAGAGGCGGACGGCUGAGUAACGCGUAGGAACACACCCUGCAGUGAGGGAUAAGACACCGAAAGGUGUUCUAAUACCGCAUACGGUCUUCGGAUUAAAGCAUUUAUGCGCUGAAGGAGUGGCCUGCGUCAUAUUAGAUAGUUGGGGAGGUAAUGGCUCACCAAGUCGAUGAUGUGUAGCUUGUCUGAGAGGAUGAUCAGCCAGUCUGGAACUGAGACACGGUCCAGACUCCUACGGGAGGCAGCAGUGAGGAAUAUUGCACAAUGAGCGAAAGCUUGAUGGAGCAAUGCUGCGUGCAGGAUGAAGGCCCUCGGGUUGUAAACUGCUUUUAUAAGAGAAGAUUAUGACGGUAACUUAUGAAUAAGGGACGGCUAACUACGUG